CGGCCGUCUCCGCCUCUGCGGGUGGGAAAGCCAAGCCUUCAAUUGUGCUGAGUUACAGUCGGUCAGGAACCGCGGAAAGAGGGAGCUGGGUCGCUCGCCCUCUUCUCCCUGAGCCUUGCGCUCACAGCGCGCUGCUUGUGGGGGGCAGCGUCCGAAGAAUAUACCCCGGCUCCUUGCCGUUCUCUCUGCUCCCGCUCACUUUGGGUGGCCACCUUCCCACCCGGCCUGGGUCUUGGAAAGGCCUUUCUUCUGUCCUUAGGGCGUAAGUGCUCCAAACUGGGCCCCACUUCAGAAAACCCGAGUGUUCCGUGGUUGUGCACGACUCCCUUGCACGCCGCUGCUCUCUAUGUGGAGUAGAAGGGGCUGAGAUUUGAAAUCAGAAAACUUUUUAGUUUUAGUCCUCCGUUGCUCUUUGGUGGCUUGUUUUCAAGAACCCUGAGCCUGUUUAUCCUCUUGAAAAUUUGUGAAACCACCUUACCUCUCUCCUGCAAUGUUAGGUACUGCCUUUUGCAGGUUUCGACCGAAUUCUGGAGGUGCAGGCUGCUACUGGGCCUUGCUGUUUCUGGAAAGCAUGUAAGCAGUAAACAGAGGAAGCAACCUUACAUUAGAAAAAGGAAAGGCUCUACUUGGUUUCUUAGGUGUCAUUUUAGUUUGAUCCUAACUUAGGGUAGCUGGGAGCCUUACCACUACAGCUGGCUACCAGAGUUUAUGAUAGUCCAGGUCUAAACCGCAAGGAACAGACUUGCGAUCCUUACCUAACAUAGCUACCAUUUAUGGAAUCUGCUUUGUGCUUUACAAGCAAUAUUACAUUUAAUCUUAUAAUAACUGAAAUUGGUUAGUAUUUUCAGGUGGGGAAACUGAAUGACCUAGUUAAGAAACCCUCCCAGUAACAAGGCCCAGGUUUCAGUUCAUUAAGUCUGAAUUUACCCUCUAAAUUGAAACAAUUUACUUUUACUCUCCUUUUGAGAGCAGUCCUCGCUAGGAGUGGACUAAUGAGAGCUACUAGCAUGUCACACAACCCUCUGGAAUACAUUUUCUCUCACCAUAUACACUAUCUCCCCUCCAAUAACUUGAGGCUCCUUGAUGCUGUGGCACUAGGAGCUUAAGAUUCAUUAAAUCUGCCAUAAUAUACUUUCUUUCUCACACUCUUGUAAUGCAGUUGCUCAAUUUGUUGGUGUAUUCAAAUUAUGCUUCAAAACAAUUUCUAAAAUGGCAAGUCACUCUAGAAGUAAUCGCUAAUUAAAGCAUGUAUGCGAAUAAGUCAGAAAUGAAAAACAGCUUUGAAAAAAAGAUUCAGAGAAGUGAAUUGAAGAGAUAGGAAACAGUAAUUAGGAAUCAGGUGGCAAUUAGACCUCUGUAGGUAGGUAGAUCUUCCCUCUUCAAUUAGUAUAAUAGGCAGCAACCCCCAUCAGAAUCUGAAAUAAAUGGAGAAGCUGGGGAUGAACUUGAACCAGCCUGACCAGGAGGAAGAAGGGGCGAGUGAAGGUGGAAGACAAAACAAACUGCACCAGGCUGUUGCUCUGCGCCUGGGUGUCGGGGAGUGGAUGGAGCGCCUUGUCCAUGUUCCCUACGGCUUCUACCAGGGCUAUGGAAACACAAUGCCCUUGGGCCAGCCUGGACUCAAUGAGCACAAACAGCCAGACUGGAGGCAAAACACCGGUCCCCCCACUUUCCUGGCCAGGCCUGGGCUGUUGGUGCCUGCAAAUGCCUCCGACUACUGCAUGGACCCUUACAAGAGGGCACAGCUUAAGGCCAUUCUCUCCCAGAUGAACCCCAGCCUGAGCCUGCGGCUUUGCAAGGCUAACACCAAGGAGGUGGGUGUGCAGGUGAGCCCGCGGGUGGACAAGUCCGUGCAGUGCUCGCUGGGGCCUCGCACCUUGCGCAGCCGCUCCCCUUGGGGCCGUGCAGGCCACAGGGCACCCCUGCCAGCCUGGGGAGUCUACUCGCCAGUGAUAGGCCGCAGGGGCUUGAUCAGUCUUCGGAAGGAUGGGGAAGACGAGGAGAGGAAGAUGCUCUCGGGUCCUGCAGAGGCCAGCCCGCAGCAGCCACCAUCACCACCUGCCAAGUCGGAAGGGGACAGCCAGGAGGAACUCACGCAGCAUGAGGAGCUGGCGGAGGAAGAUGGCUCGAGUCCUCAGGAAAGGAAGAGCAAGCAGGCCCGGGCAGACGCCGCCGAUCCGCUCAGGAAACCCUGCUUCCAGUUUUUGGAACCAAAAUAUGGUUAUUUUCACUGUAAAGAUUGUAAGACCAGAUGGGAGAGUGCUUAUGUGUGGUGCAUUUCUGGAACUAAUAAGGUUUAUUUCAAACAACUCUGCUGCAAAUGCCACAAGAGUUUUAACCCUUAUCGAGUAGAAGCAAUCCAAUGUCAGGUUUGCUCACUGUACAACUUACAGAGCAGGAGCGCUCAAGGGCUGUUGGUCUUCACUCAGAUGCCUGUUUAAUACAACUACCUAUUCAGCACAAAUGGACUCUAAGGAUCCUGCUAAUAGUUGCUAGAAGAAUAAAAGUAACUUUUAUCUUGACAACAUGGUAAAUAACAGGCAUGUCAUUGUUUUAUUGGAUCACAAGGAUUUUCUCCAAGCUCUGUUCCUGUACUCCUGAUAUGGCUUGAUUUAUAAACUGGAUUAAGAGAUGUUGUGGCCAAGCUGUUUAUGCCUGUCACUUAUCGGCCAUGGAGCCUCGGAUAAGUCAAGCUUAGUUUCCUCAUCUGUAGAGUGGGGCUAAGGCUGCCUACCCUGCACCCAGGGAGAAUCAAA
Manis pentadactyla (Chinese pangolin) is the source of this 2756-nucleotide RNA transcript. It is a transcript of the gene named zygote arrest 1 like, with no coding region annotated. NCBI's taxonomy places the organism in Eukaryota, Metazoa, Chordata, Mammalia, Pholidota, Manidae. The record is from RefSeq and is a predicted model, not a curated record. The transcript has 7 exons.